AUGCGUUGUUGGGUAGGGGAGCGUUCUGUAAGCCUGUGAAGGUGUGCUGUGAGGCAUGCUGGAGGUAUCAGAAGUGCGAAUGCUGACAUAAGUAACGAUAAAGCGGGUGAAAAGCCCGCUCGCCGGAAGACCAAGGGUUCCUGUCCAACGUUAAUCGGGGCAGGGUGAGUCGACCCCUAAGGCGAGGCCGAAAGGCGUAGUCGAUGGGAAACAGGUUAAUAUUCCUGUACUUGGUGUUACUGCGAAGGGGGGACGGAGAAGGCUAUGUUGGCCGGGCGACGGUUGUCCCGGUUUAAGCGUGUAGGCUGGUUUUCCAGGCAAAUCCGGAAAAUCAAGGCUGAGGCGUGAUGACGAGGCACUACGGUGCUGAAGCAACAAAUGCCCUGCUUCCAGGAAAAGCCUCUAAGCAUCAGGUAACAUCAAAUCGUACCCCAAACCGACACAGGUGGUCAGGUAGAGAAUACCAAGGCGCUUGAGAGAACUCGGGUGAAGGAACUAGGCAAAAUGGUGCCGUAACUUCGGGAGAAGG
Molecule: ribosomal RNA, 529 nt
Filed under: Escherichia coli
Lineage: Bacteria; Pseudomonadati; Pseudomonadota; Gammaproteobacteria; Enterobacterales; Enterobacteriaceae
Description: partial 23S ribosomal RNA
Rfam family: Bacterial large subunit ribosomal RNA
Source: RNAcentral